CCUACGGCGUGCAGCAGUGGGGGAUAUUGCACAAUGGGGGGAACCCUGAUGCAGCGACGCCGCGUGGGUGACGGAGUAUUUCGGUAUGUAAAGCCCUAUCGGCAGGGAAGAAUUUAGACGGUACCUGACUAAGAAGCCCCGGCUAACUACGUGCCAGCAGCCGCGGUAAUCCGUAGGGGGCAAGCGUUAUCCGUAUUUACUGGGUGUAAAGGGAGCGUAGACGGUGCAGCAAGUCUGAGGUGAAAGGUCGGGGCCCAACCCCGGGACUGCAUUGGAAACUGUUGAAAUGGAGUACAGGAGAGGUAAGCGGAAUUCCUAGUGUAGAGGUGAAAUGCGUAGAUAGUAGGAGGAACACCAGGGGCGAAGGCGGCUUACUGGACUGUAACUGACGUUGAGGCUCGAAAGCGUGCGGAGCAAACAGGAUUAGAUACCCGUGUAGUC
RNAcentral lists this ribosomal RNA (441 nucleotides) under uncultured bacterium. Its description in RNAcentral is "partial 16S ribosomal RNA". It matches the Rfam family "Bacterial small subunit ribosomal RNA", at positions 338 to 795 of the family's 1533-position model. The record is from RNAcentral.